UUCGACUGUUUACCAAAAACAUAGCUUUAAGAAUACAUUAUACAUAGUGACGCCUGCUCAAUGAUUGCGUAAUACAGAAAAACAACAAUUUAAUAGCUGCGGUAACACCUAACCGCACAAAGGUAGCACAAUAAAUAGCCUACUAACUACAGGAUCGCAUGAAGGCAUAACGAAACUUUAACUGUCUCAAGAUUACUAACCCAAAUUAGACUGUGUGUGCAAAUUCACACUAAAACAGCAAGACGAUAAGACCCUAUGAACUUUACCAAAACUCCAAAACUUUACUUAUACAUUAUAAUAAAAUAAGACAUAUAUCUUGGAAUUUAAGUUUCGUUGGGGCAACGAUCUCAAAAUAAAUAAAUAAGAUUAUACACAAUCAAACAUUACAAAAUAGACAUAUAAGUUAAACAUCAUAAAGAUAAGACCCAUUAAUUAAAAUAACUUAAUGAACAUAAAAUAAAAGCUCCUUAGGGAUAACAGCGUAAUAUUGUAUAUAAAGAUUCUUCUCAAACAAUGUUUGCGACCUCGAUGUUGAAUUA
This 539-nucleotide ribosomal RNA is filed under the name Farrea raoulensis. RNAcentral's name for it is "partial 16S ribosomal RNA". The stretch from base 1 to 230 matches the Rfam family "Archaeal large subunit ribosomal RNA", at positions 1887 to 2143 of the family's 2987-position model. The record is from RNAcentral. Lineage: Eukaryota; Metazoa; Porifera; Hexactinellida; Sceptrulophora; Farreidae.